This 1400-nucleotide long non-coding RNA is filed under the name Chinchilla lanigera (long-tailed chinchilla). RNAcentral describes it as "lncRNA (ENSCLAG00000028327.1)". The record is from RNAcentral. Lineage: Eukaryota; Metazoa; Chordata; Mammalia; Rodentia; Chinchillidae.
UACAGAAUGAAAGUCUUUUUUCAGUAUUAAAAAGAAGACUUCAAGCUGGGUGUGGUGGUACACACCUAGAAUCUCAGAACUCAGGAGGCUGAGGCAGGAGGAUCAUGAGUUUGAAGGAAGCCUGGACUACAUAGAGGUCAAGGAUGACCUGGACUACAUAGCAAGACCCUGUUUCAGAAAGAAGAGAAGAGAGCAAAGGAGGGAAACUUCCAUGAAUGUCUCUUGUAUUUGAGAAUCAGACUCUUGGAUCCUCUUGGAACUUGUUUUCCCCUUAUAGCUUGCUUCUUAGGGUGAUGUUUGCUGAAAGCUGUAUUUGUCUCAUGUCUCCUGAUAAGAGUUGGUUCCAUCUGGUUCUCUUGCAACUGGAGUAAAGCUUGGUCUGCACGCUUUUAUUUCAGAUAAUGAAACCAAAACUGGAUAAUGCUGUUAGAAAAAAGAAUAAACAAGAAAAACUUUUCAAGUUGGAAAUAAAACAACUGGAAAACAAAGCCAAGAAUCUGGAGCGCCAGGUUUGCUUUGGAGUCCUGCAGCGGCGGUAUCCGUGCUGGCGGGAAGCGCUGGUCUCGCAGCGGGCUCCUCCCUGCGCCUGUGCCAGCUGCUCCUCGGGAGCAAAUGGUGGCGAAUGGUCCUUCUGAUCAACGCUAGUCAGUCCCCUUAUUUUGUGGCCAUAUGAAGACUGAAAACUGUUCCAGGCCUGGUUUUCCCUGGCCGGAAGUAAGGAAAUGCCUAAUUUGGCCCUGAGAUAUUUAAGAAGGUUUACUAGAGGCACUGGAGCUUCUUCCUUGAAAUCAAAAUCCUCUUAGAAGUGCAGCAGAAGUGACCUCAGGUUAGUAUCUAUGUGUCCAGGUUUGUUGGUUGAAAGUAACCGGGUGGGCUGAGUUGCACUCUAAAGUGAGGAAAAACAUACUAGUGUUUCUGUUCUGAAUGCUAGAAGGCGGUUCCCCGAAGCCUGUUUCAGAAUGGAUUAUUGCCUACUGGGUUCAAGAAUACUUACCUCUGCUAAAUAGGCAAUCCCAAGGGCCAGACUUCAUCAUUGAUCAGACCAUGUCAGGAAUGCAAGCUGGGCGUGGUGGCACAUGCCUAUAAGCCCAGCACUCAGGAGGCUGAGGCAGGAGGAUUGUUGUGAGUUCAAGACCAGCCUGGGCUACAAAGUGAGUUCAAGAUCAGCCUGAACUGCACCGCGAGACCCUGUCUCAAAAAGACUCACCCCCCGCAAAAAAGGAAUGCAGUUGCCUCCCUGUGCUGAGACAGACAUCUUUAGUGGCAAAUUAUAUUGGCUGUGUUUUAUUGUAUCAGUUGAGCUGAUACAAUAAAUACUGAUUUUUGAUCACAAAUGCAAAAUAAAUGAUUUGUGCUGCACCCCCUACCUAAACUGAAGAGCUGGAAUGACUAGAACGUCU